RNAcentral lists this ribosomal RNA (429 nucleotides) under Pseudomonadota bacterium. RNAcentral describes it as "Proteobacteria bacterium partial 16S ribosomal RNA". It matches the Rfam family "Bacterial small subunit ribosomal RNA", at positions 355 to 776 of the family's 1533-position model. The record is from RNAcentral. Lineage: Bacteria; Pseudomonadati; Pseudomonadota.
UGGGGAAUAUUGGACAAUGGGAGAAAGCCUGAUCCAGCCAUGCCGCGUGUGUGAAGAAGGUCUUCGGAUUGUAAAGCACUUUAAGUUGGGAGGAAGGGCAGUAAGCGAAUACCUUGCUGUUUUGACGUUACCGACAGAAUAAGCACCGGCUAACUCCGUGCCAGCAGCCGCGGUAAUACAGAGGGUGCAAGCGUUAAUCGGAAUUACUGGGCGUAAAGCGCGCGUAGGUGGUUCAUUAAGUUGAAUGUGAAAGCCCCGGGCUCAACCUGGGAACUGCAUCCAAAACUGGCGAGCUAGAGUAGGGCAGAGGGUGGUGGAAUUUCCUGUGUAGCGGUGAAAUGCGUAGAUAUAGAAAGGAACACCAGUGGCGAAGGCGACCACCUGGGCUCAUACUGACACUGAGGUGCGAAAGCGUGGGGAGCAAACAGG